RNAcentral lists this ribosomal RNA (425 nucleotides) under uncultured bacterium. RNAcentral describes it as "bacterial SSU rRNA". It matches the Rfam family "Bacterial small subunit ribosomal RNA", at positions 359 to 776 of the family's 1533-position model. The record is from RNAcentral.
GAAUUUUGGACAAUGGGCGAAAGCCUGAUCCAGCCAUGCCGCGUGUGUGAAGAAGGUCUUCGGAUUGUAAAGCACUUUAAGUUGGGAGGAAGGGUUGUAGAUUAAUACUCUGCAAUUUUGACGUUACCGACAGAAUAAGCACCGGCUAACUUCGUGCCAGCAGCCGCGGUAAUACGAAGGGUGCAAGCGUUAAUCGGAAUUACUGGGCGUAAAGCGUGCGCAGGCGGUUAUAUAAGACAGAUGUGAAAUCCCUGGGCUCAACCUGGGAACUGCAUUUGUGACUGUAUAGCUAGAGUAUGGCAGAGGGUGGUGGAAUUUCCUGUGUAGCGGUGAAAUGCGUAGAUAUAGGAAGGAACACCAGUGGCGAAGGCGACCACCUGGGCUAAUACUGACACUGAGGUGCGAAAGCGUGGGGAGCAAACAGG